This 88-nucleotide transfer RNA is filed under the name Tengunoibacter tsumagoiensis. RNAcentral describes it as "tRNA-Ser". It matches the Rfam family "tRNA". Rfam says of the family: Transfer RNA (tRNA) molecules are approximately 80 nucleotides in length. Their secondary structure includes four short double-helical elements and three loops (D, anti-codon, and T loops). Lineage: Bacteria; Bacillati; Chloroflexota; Ktedonobacteria; Ktedonobacterales; Dictyobacteraceae. RNAcentral also lists the same sequence under 2 other names. The record is from RNAcentral.
GGAGAGGUCGCAUAGUGGCCUAGUGCGGCGGUUUGCUAAACCGCUGAAGGAGCAAUCCUUCCGAGAGUUCGAAUCUCUCCCUCUCCGC